RNAcentral lists this ribosomal RNA (254 nucleotides) under uncultured bacterium. Its description in RNAcentral is "partial 16S ribosomal RNA". It matches the Rfam family "Bacterial small subunit ribosomal RNA", at positions 524 to 776 of the family's 1533-position model. The record is from RNAcentral.
UACGGGGGGAGCAAGCGUUGUUCGGAUUUACUGGGCGUAAAGGGCUCGUAGGCGGCCAACUAAGUCAGACGUGAAAUCCCUCGGCUUAACCGGGGAACUGCGUCUGAUACUGGAUGGCUUGAGUUUGGGAGAGGGAUGCGGAAUUCCAGGUGUAGCGGUGAAACGCGUAGAUAUCUGGAGGAACACCGGUGGCGAAGGCGGCAUCCUGGACCAACACUGACGCUGAGUGAGCGAAAGCCAGGGGAGCAAACGGG